Molecule: ribosomal RNA, 1017 nt
Filed under: uncultured bacterium
Lineage: Bacteria
Description: bacterial SSU rRNA
Rfam family: Bacterial small subunit ribosomal RNA
Source: RNAcentral
UGAGGAAUAUUGGUCAAUGGGCGCGAGCCUGAACCAGCCAAGUAGCGUGAAGGAUGAAGGUCCUACGGAUUGUAAACUUCUUUUAUAAGGGAAUAAAGUCACCCACGUGUGGGUGUUUGUAUGUACCUUAUGAAUAAGCAUCGGCUAACUCCGUGCCAGCAGCCGCGGUAAUACGGAGGAUGCGAGCGUUAUCCGGAUUUAUUGGGUUUAAAGGGAGCGUAGACGGGCCGUUAAGUCAGCUGUGAAAGUUUGAGGCUCAACCUUAAAAUUGCAGUUGAUACUGGCGUCCUUGAGUACGGUUGAGGCAGGCGGAAUUCGUGGUGUAGCGGUGAAAUGCUUAGAUAUCACGAAGAACCCCGAUUGCGAAGGCAGCCUGCUAAACCGCCACUGACGUUGAGGCUCGAAAGUGUGGGUAUCAAACAGGAUUAGAUACCCUGGUAGUCCACACGGUAAACGAUGAAUACUCGCUGUUUGCGAUAUACUGCAAGCGGCCAAGCGAAAGCGUUAAGUAUUCCACCUGGGGAGUACGCCGGCAACGGUGAAACUCAAAGGAAUUGACGGGGGCCCGCACAAGCGGAGGAACAUGUGGUUUAAUUCGAUGAUACGCGAGGAACCUUACCCGGGCUUAAAUUGCAGAUGAAUUACGGUGAAAGCCGUAAGCCGCAAGGCAUCUGUGAAGGUGCUGCAUGGUUGUCGUCAGCUCGUGCCGUGAGGUGUCGGCUUAAGUGCCAUAACGAGCGCAACCCUUGUUGUCAGUUACUAACAGGUUUUGCUGAGGACUCUGACAAGACUGCCAUCGUAAGAUGUGAGGAAGGUGGGGAUGACGUCAAAUCAGCACGGCCCUUACGUCCGGGGCUACACACGUGUUACAAUGGGGGGUACAGAGGGCCGCUACCACGCGAGUGGAUGCCAAUCCCAAAAACCUCUCUCAGUUCGGACUGGAGUCUGCAACCCGACUCCACGAAGCUGGAUUCGCUAGUAAUCGCGCAUCAGCCACGGCGCGGUGAAUACGUUCCC